CAUGCUCCAAAACUGCUUGCUAGGCCGCAUCAAAUGAGUCCACCCCACUGAUCUAUAUAUAUAACUGGAUAGCUCAUGACGUCACAACAGUGAAGCUACUGCGCCGCCAUCUUGGUAUUCCCUAACAUUCUGUACUCCUAUGUGUCUCAAUGGGAAAUCGUCUGUUUUGCAGCAUUACGUUCAGCGGCGCACGUGCGCACGUGUUUCAAUAGAAACAAGUUUAAGAAACUGAGUGCAGGCCUGAAUACGGUCCAGCUCACGGGCAUCAUUUAUAAAGUGAUCAAUUGGAAUAGACGAGGAGCAGGGCAGGACUGGUAAUCUGGACUACCGGACAUUUUUCCGGUGGACCGACAAACUUUGGGGCCGAUCAGGGUGGACUGGCCAUCGGGAGAACCGAGCGGGUCGCUGUGUCGGCCGCGAUAAUCUAAAACGAGCCGCCGCGUUAGCGAACACUACCCCCCAACAACUUUUUGACAGUUAUGUCAAAUCCCGGGCCGAUUUCUCUUUCCAGUCCAGCCCUGAAAAGGUGCACAUGGAUAUUGUUGAAGUUAAACAAGGUAAAUUUGCCGUUUGGAUUUCAAUAAACAUCGCACUGAAUGUUAGAUAAAGCUGGAAUUGGUUUGCAACAGGAGGAAAAGCUGUAUGAGGAGUCAGCCUGGCUUCACUGAAGAGCUGUUUUAACAGAGUAAAAAAUAUUAUACUGUCUGUUUUUAUUUGCAAUGAAGAUACUUUUGCAACAUGCAGUAUAAGUCUCAUAAAAUUACUGUGUUUCAGAUAGUUAUAACAUUUAAUAUUAAUAGAAAA
Molecule: long non-coding RNA, 804 nt
Organism: Xyrauchen texanus (razorback sucker)
Lineage: Eukaryota; Metazoa; Chordata; Actinopteri; Cypriniformes; Catostomidae
Exons: 3
Source: RefSeq, a predicted model, not a curated record